UACGUAGGUGGCAAGCGUUGUCCGGAAUUAUUGGGCGUAAAGCGCGCGCAGGCGGUCCUUUAAGUCUGAUGUGAAAGCCCACGGCUCAACCGUGGAGAGUCAUUGGAAACUGGGGGACUUGAGUGCAGAAGAGGAAAGCGGAAUUCCACGUGUAGCGGUGAAAUGCGUAGAGAUGUGGAGGAACACCAGUGGCGAAGGCGGGUCUCUGGGCCGAUAUUGACGCUGAGGAGCGAAAGCGUGGGGAGCAAACAGG
This 253-nucleotide ribosomal RNA is filed under the name uncultured bacterium. Its description in RNAcentral is "partial 16S ribosomal RNA". It matches the Rfam family "Bacterial small subunit ribosomal RNA", at positions 524 to 776 of the family's 1533-position model. The record is from RNAcentral.